Molecule: ribosomal RNA, 229 nt
Filed under: uncultured bacterium
Lineage: Bacteria
Description: partial 16S ribosomal RNA
Rfam family: Bacterial small subunit ribosomal RNA
Source: RNAcentral
UCCGUAGGCGGGUAAUUAAGUCAGAGGUGAAAUCCCACAGCUUAUCUGUGGAACUGCCUUAGAUACUGGUUAUCUUGAGUUUUAGUGAAGUAGAUAGAAUGUGUAGUGUAGCGGUGAAAUGCAUAGAUAUUACACAGAAUACCGAUUGCGAAGGCAGUCUACUAACUAACAACUGACGCUAAUGGACGAAAGCGUGGGGAGCGAACAGGAUUAGAUACCCUGGUAGUCC